AGCGGGCGAGGUUGCUUCGGUAACUGAGCUAGCGGCGGACGGGUGAGUAAUGCUUAGGAAUCUGCCUAUUAGUGGGGGACAACAUUCCGAAAGGAAUGCUAAUACCGCAUACGCCCUACGGGGGAAAGCAGGGGAUCUUCGGACCUUGCGCUAAUAGAUGAGCCUAAGUCAGAUUAGCUAGUUGGUGGGGUAAAGGCCUACCAAGGCGACGAUCUGUAGCGGGUCUGAGAGGAUGAUCCGCCACACUGGGACUGAGACACGGCCCAGACUCCUACGGGAGGCAGCAGUGGGGAAUAUUGGACAAUGGGCGCAAGCCUGAUCCAGCCAUGCCGCGUGUGUGGAGAAGGCCUUUUGGUUGUAAAGCACUUUAAGCGAGGAGGAGGCUACUUGGAUUAAUACUCUAGGAUAGUGGACGUUACUCGCAGAAUAAGCACCGGCUAACUCUGUGCCAGCAGCCGCGGUAAUACAGAGGGUGCGAGCGUUAAUCGGAUUUACUGGGCGUAAAGCGUGCGUAGGCGGCUUCUUAAGUCGGAUGUGAAAUCCCUGAGCUUAACUUAGGAAUUGCAUUCGAUACUGGGAAGCUAGAGUAUGGGAGAGGAUGGUAGAAUUCCAGGUGUAGCGGUGAAAUGCGUAGAGAUCUGGAGGAAUACCGAUGGCGAAGGCAGCCAUCUGGCCUAAUACUGACGCUGAGGUACGAAAGCAUGGGGAGCAAACAGGAUUAGAUACCCUGGUAGUCCAUGCCGUAAACGAUGUC
RNAcentral lists this ribosomal RNA (754 nucleotides) under uncultured bacterium. RNAcentral's name for it is "bacterial SSU rRNA". It matches the Rfam family "Bacterial small subunit ribosomal RNA", at positions 65 to 813 of the family's 1533-position model. The record is from RNAcentral.